Molecule: long non-coding RNA, 318 nt
Filed under: Androctonus crassicauda
Lineage: Eukaryota; Metazoa; Arthropoda; Arachnida; Scorpiones; Buthidae
Source: RNAcentral
AGUAUUCCCUAAUAUUUGGGAUAAAAGAAUAACAGUCUACUAGUUGUUUCUCUGUUCCAGUUUUCUUAUCAUGGAUUAGGAAUGUUCAAUCUUUUUUUACUAUGCGAGUUACUCUUCUGUAUUAAGUUAUUUGAUGAUCUACUUACUCCCUUAUAUAGAUUAUAUUUCUUCAACCUGAUAUCUGAGUGGCUGGAUGGCCAAGUGAUAACACAGUUGGCAUGCCAUGCAGGAGGAUAUGGUGUGAAAAGGUUAACUCUGACCUAUCCUAUUUAUUAUUUUAUUAUGCUCUUAUUAUUUUGUUGUUAUAUUCAUUAUUAU